This 113-nucleotide ribosomal RNA is filed under the name Zingiber officinale. The record is from RNAcentral. Lineage: Eukaryota; Viridiplantae; Streptophyta; Magnoliopsida; Zingiberales; Zingiberaceae.
GCGAUCAUACCAGCACUAAUGCACCGGAUCCCAUCAGAACUCCGAAGUUAAGCGUGCUUGGGCGAGAGCAGUACUAGAUGGGUGACCCCCUGGGAAGUCCUCGUGUUGCACCU